RNAcentral lists this ribosomal RNA (272 nucleotides) under uncultured archaeon. RNAcentral describes it as "partial 16S ribosomal RNA". It matches the Rfam family "Archaeal small subunit ribosomal RNA", at positions 588 to 859 of the family's 1478-position model. The record is from RNAcentral.
UAGACUUGAAGUCGGGAGAGGUUAGAGGUACUACCGGGGUAGGGGUGAAAUCCUAUAAUCCUGGGAGGACCACCUGUGGCGAAGGCGUCUAACUGGAACGAUCUUGACGGUGAGUAACGAAAGCCAGGGGCGCGAACCGGAUUAGAUACCCGGGUAGUCCUGGCCGUAAACGAUGUGGACUUGGUGUUGGAAUGGCUUUGAGUUGUUCCGGUGCCGAAGGGAAGCUGUUAAGUCCGCCGCCUGGGAAGUACGGUCGCAAGACUGAAACUUAA